AUGCACUGCAACCAUUGCCCAGAAGACAGAUGUGAGUCUUGUAGAGAGAAGGACCUGCCUGUCUGCCUGUCUGUCCACAGAGGUGGCUUAUACAAAGGGUGGAGAAAGAUAUGAUAAGGAAGAAGCUUCAGGCCAGCAGGUAGAAAUUAUGGCAUCUGCUGUCAGCCUCAGGCAAUCAGAACCACUGAACAUCUGUGAGCUUUGGAGGGAUACAAUGAGAUCUAUGCAUCAGAAAGAUAAGUCUGACAGUGAUGUGAAAGAUGAUUUUGAGGUGAGAAAGAGGGGAGAUGGAAAGAUCUGGAACAGCAAUAGUCCAGACAACAUCUGGACUUUGAUAUUCAACUCUGGGCUCCAUAUUUGAAAAGAACAUUUCCAAGCUGGAGAGCUUUCAGAGGAAAGUGACCAGGAUGAUGAGCUUUAUUACCAUAUCAUCAGAGCAUCAGUUGAAGGAGCAGAAGUUGUUUUGCCUAGAGAACAGAGGAACUAUCCUCCUUCUAAACUUUCCUGUUCCUUCCAGUUGACCAGAUUCACAACCUGGAAGUCAACAUCUAUUCUUCUUUCUCCCUCACCUUUCAUAUCUAAUCAGUUGCCACUUCUUGUCCGUUUUACCUCCAUGGCAUAUCUCCCAUCAUACGUCUCCCUCCUCUCCACUCAGCCACACCCUUGUCAUCUUUCUCCUGGACUCCUGCAGUAGCCUUCUAACCAGGCUUCUAGCAUCUUCCCCACAGGUGUCAUAAUAACAUUCUUAAAUCCAAGUAAGUCUACAUCACUCCUCUGCUCAAGAAUUUUCAUUGGCCCCUUCUAAGAUAAGAUAAAAAUUUCUGGGCAUGGUAUUAAAAUCCAUUCACAAUCUGGAUCAAGGCUAACUUCUCAGAAAUCUCUCUUUAUUCCUCUUUGCGUCUUCUAUAUUCCAGACAAAGUGGCCUAGUUAUUAUUCCAAGAACUUAGCUUUGCAUUUCUUCCUUCACCUUUGCAGAUAUUGUUCCCCAAGCCUAAAAUGUACUCCUUUUUUACCUCUACCCUAGCUUCCUGCAAAGCUCCAUUUAAGGUACCACACCCUCUGGGAAGCCAUCUUUGGAGCUGCUAUUCCUCUAACACACACACACACAUACACACACACACACACACACACACAUACUCAUGAAUUGUAGAACAGCAGUACAUUCAUCCAACUGGGCUUCAAGGUUUUCAAAGCAUUUCAAAGCAUUCAUCAUUUCAUCUGAUUGUCACAACUUGGAAGUUUGCAACACACUCAUGGCCAACCUUCCUAAUGCUUCAAUUGGCUAUGAAGACUAUCUUCCCCAAAAUUUCAUUAAAUAUGUAAGUUUUGUACACAGCCUCCUAUCCUUUUCCCUCCCUAAUGUGGAAGUCAGUUUACCACAGAAUCACUCAUUUGGAGAAGCAUUUGCUG
Phascolarctos cinereus (koala) is the source of this 1411-nucleotide non-coding RNA. The record is from RefSeq and is a predicted model, not a curated record. Lineage: Eukaryota; Metazoa; Chordata; Mammalia; Diprotodontia; Phascolarctidae.